ACGCUCGACACCUACAGGAGGCAGCAGUGGGGAAUAUUGGGCAAUGGAGGCAACUCUGACCCAGCAACGCCGCGUGAGUGAUGAAGGUCUUCGGAUUGUAAAACUCUUUAAGUAGGGACGAAGAAAGUGACGGUACCUACAGAAUAAGCCUCGGCUAACUACGUGCCAGCAGCCGCGGUAAUCUGAGCGGGCUGGCAAGGC
Molecule: ribosomal RNA, 201 nt
Filed under: uncultured bacterium
Lineage: Bacteria
Description: partial 16S ribosomal RNA
Rfam family: Bacterial small subunit ribosomal RNA
Source: RNAcentral